This 259-nucleotide ribosomal RNA is filed under the name uncultured bacterium. RNAcentral describes it as "partial 16S ribosomal RNA". It matches the Rfam family "Bacterial small subunit ribosomal RNA", at positions 524 to 782 of the family's 1533-position model. The record is from RNAcentral.
UACGUAGGGACCAAGCGUUGUUCGGAUUUACUGGGCGUAAAGGGCGCGUAGGCGGCGCGGUAAGUCACUUGUGAAAUCUCUGAGCUUAACUCAGAACGGCCAAGUGAUACUGCAGUGCUAGAGUGUGGAAGGGGCAAUCGGAAUUCUUGGUGUAGCGGUGAAAUGCGCAGAUAUCAGGAGGAACACCGGUGGCGAAGGCGGGUCUCUGGGCCGAUACUGACGCUGAGGAGCGAAAGCGUGGGGAGCGAACAGGAUAGAA